Molecule: ribosomal RNA, 332 nt
Filed under: uncultured eukaryote
Lineage: Eukaryota
Description: partial 18S ribosomal RNA
Rfam family: Eukaryotic small subunit ribosomal RNA
Source: RNAcentral
CCCUUAGAUGUUCUGGGCUGCACACGUGCUACACUGGCAGGUUCAGCGAGCUUCAUGCCCUGAUCUGAAAGGAAUGGGAAAUCUUUUCAAAACCUGCCGUGCUUGGGAUAGAUGUUUGCAAUUAUUCAUCUUCAACGAGGAUUGCCUUGUAAGCGCACGUCAUCAGCGUGCAUUGAAUACGACCCUGUAUUCUGUACACACCGCCCGUCGCUCCUACCGAUUGAAGUCUUCGGUGAGUUGACAGGAGGAUUUUUUUGAAACUGGUUCGCCAGUGGAUUUUAGAUCCAAAUGCCAACGAAUCGAUGGCUUUAGAGGAAGGAGAAGUCGUAACA